RNAcentral lists this ribosomal RNA (271 nucleotides) under uncultured archaeon. RNAcentral's name for it is "partial 16S ribosomal RNA". It matches the Rfam family "Archaeal small subunit ribosomal RNA", at positions 477 to 747 of the family's 1478-position model. The record is from RNAcentral.
CGGCGCCACAAGUGGUGAUCAUGUUUAUUGGGCCUAAAGCGUCCGUAGCCGGUUUAGCAAAUCUUUUGUGAAAUCGUCAGGCUUAACUUGACGAAUUGCAGAAGACACUACUAAACUCGGGACCGGGAGGAGUCAGAAGUAUUCAGGGGGGACCGGUAAAAUGGUAUAAUCCCCUGAGGACUACCGAUGGCGAAGGCAUCUGACCAGAACGGAUCCGACGGUGAGGGACGAAAGCCAGGGGAGCAAACCGGAUUAGAUACCCGAGUAGUCC